RNAcentral lists this ribosomal RNA (377 nucleotides) under uncultured bacterium. Its description in RNAcentral is "bacterial SSU rRNA". It matches the Rfam family "Bacterial small subunit ribosomal RNA", at positions 521 to 896 of the family's 1533-position model. The record is from RNAcentral.
UAAUACGUAGGGUCCGAGCGUUGUCCGGAGUUACUGGGCGUAAAGCGCGCGCAGGUGGUCGAUCAAGUCUGGCGUGAAAGCCCCCGGCUCAACUGGGGAGGGUCGUCGGAGACUGGUUGACUUGAGGGCAGGAGGGGUUGGUGGAAUUCCCGGUGUAGUGGUGAAAUGCGUAGAGAUCGGGAGGAACACCCGUGGCGAAGGCGGCCAACUGGACUGACCCUGACACUGAGGCGCGAAGGCGUGGGGAGCGAACGGGAUUAGAUACCCCGGUAGUCCACGCAGUAAACGAUGCAGACUAGGCGUGGGGGGACUUGACCCCCUCCGUGCCGGAGCUAACGCGGUAAGUCUGCCGCCUGGGGAGUACGGCCGCAAGGCUA